GGGUGUGAUCAUACCAGCACUAUAGCACCGGAUCCCAUAAGAACACUAAAGUUAAGCAUGCUUGGGCAAGGGUAGUACUAGGAUGGUGACUUCCUGGGAAGUCCUCAUGUUGUAUUCC
This 118-nucleotide ribosomal RNA is filed under the name Hordeum vulgare subsp. vulgare (domesticated barley). The record is from RNAcentral. Lineage: Eukaryota; Viridiplantae; Streptophyta; Magnoliopsida; Poales; Poaceae.